Papaver somniferum (opium poppy) is the source of this 609-nucleotide long non-coding RNA. RefSeq lists it as uncharacterized. The transcript is spliced from 3 exons. The record is from RefSeq and is a predicted model, not a curated record. Lineage: Eukaryota; Viridiplantae; Streptophyta; Magnoliopsida; Ranunculales; Papaveraceae.
CGGCUCUCGCUGGUCUGAAACCCCAGUCGCCUCCACCACCAGUAGAACCACCACUUUGAUCUUUUAAACCACCUCCAUCAAGAGCACCACCACCUCCUUGGCUCUAUCUAGUUUUGGUUGAGUUGAGGGGAGGAACUCAAGAAGGAGUCUGAAAGCUAUUAUCAUUCAGUUUGAGUUAAGGGAAGGAAGGAGUCUGAAUCUCUGAUUACAGGGUAAUGAUUGGAUCAAGUUCAGUUUCAUUAUCAAGCUGCAAGAUGGCAAGUGCAUCUCCCUCUCCAUCCCCUGCAGCUGGGUCUACUGAUGUGACACUGUCAAUAACACCUCAAGUUGAUGCUACAAAUCAAGAAACACAAGCUAUAGAGCAGGCUACACAGGACCCUGCACCUGAGGUUGUACCGAACAAGAAGGGGAAAACUAGAUCAAAAGUUUGGAAUGACUUUGUAAGGCUCAGUGAAGAACAAGCUCAGUGUAAGCAUUGUAAGAAGAAAUUGCAAGCACAUAGCAGAGGAAAUGGCACUUCCAGCAUGAAGACACAUUUAGGCACAUGCCCUCAGAAUCCCAACAAGAAGCAGAAGGGUCAGAAGAAUUUGAUGUUUCCACCUCCAAGAC